This 489-nucleotide ribosomal RNA is filed under the name methanogenic bacterium enrichment culture clone MTtB-otu1-27. Its description in RNAcentral is "bacterial SSU rRNA". It matches the Rfam family "Bacterial small subunit ribosomal RNA", at positions 24 to 527 of the family's 1533-position model. The record is from RNAcentral.
UCAGAGUGAACGCUGGCGGCGUGCUUAACACAUGCAAGUCGAACGGUAACGCAAAGUGCUUGCACUUUGGCGACGAGUGGCGCACGGGUGAGUAAUAUAUAGUUAAUGUACCUUCAAGACUGGGAUAGCCACUGGAAACGGUGAUUAAUACUAGAUACACCUUCAUAUCACAAGGUAUGAAGGGAAAUGUUUUUUCGCUUGAAGAUCAGACUAUAUCCUAUCAGUUAGUUGGUGAGGUAAGAGCUCACCAAGACGAUGACGGGUAGCGGGUUUGAGAGGAUGAUCCGCCACACUGGUACUGAGACACGGACCAGACUCCUACGGGAGGCAGCAGUGAGGAAUAUUGCACAAUGGAGGAAACUCUGAUGCRGCAACGCCGCGUGGAGGAUGACGCAUUUCGGUGUGUAAACUCCUUUUAUAUGUCAAGAAAAUGACGGUAGCAUAUGAAUAAGCACCGGCUAACUCCGUGCCAGCCGCCGCGGUAAUACA